Molecule: ribosomal RNA, 491 nt
Filed under: uncultured bacterium
Lineage: Bacteria
Description: partial 16S ribosomal RNA
Rfam family: Bacterial small subunit ribosomal RNA
Source: RNAcentral
AGUGAACGCUGGCGGUAGGCCUAACACAUGCCAGUCGAACGGCAGCACAGUAAGAGCUUGCUCUUACGGGUGGCGAGUGGCGGACGGGUGAGGAAUACAUCGAAUCUACUUUUUCGUGGGGGAUAACGUAGGGAAACUUACGCUAAUACCGCAUACUACCUACGGGUGAAAGCAGGGGAUCUUCGUACCUUUCGCGAUUGAAUGAGCCGAUGUCGGAUUAGCUAGUUGGCGGGGUAAAGGCCCACCAAGGCGACGAUCCGUAGCUGGUCUGAGAGGAUGAUAAGACACACUGGAACUGAGACAGGGUACAGACUACUACGGGAGGAAGCAGUGGGGAAUAUUGGACAAUGGGCGCAAGACUGAUCCAGCCAUACCGCGUGGGUGAAGAAGGCCUUCGGGUUGUAAAGCCCUUUUGUUGGGAAAGAAAAGCAGCAGGUUAAUACCCCGCUGUUCUGACGGUACCCAAAGAAUAAGCACCGGCUAACUUCGUG